This 606-nucleotide ribosomal RNA is filed under the name Vibrio sp. RNAcentral's name for it is "bacterial SSU rRNA". The record is from RNAcentral. Lineage: Bacteria; Pseudomonadati; Pseudomonadota; Gammaproteobacteria; Vibrionales; Vibrionaceae.
GCCUUGAUGUGGGGGAUAACUAUUGGAAACGAUAGCUAAUACCGCAUAAUGCCUUCGGGCCAAAGAGGGGGACCUUCGGGCCUCUCGCGUCAAGAUUAGCCCAGGUGGGAUUAGCUAGUUGGUGAGGUAAAGGCUCACCAAGGCGACGAUCCCUAGCUGGUCUGAGAGGAUGAUCAGCCACACUGGAACUGAGACACGGUCCAGACUCCUACGGGAGGCAGCAGUGGGGAAUAUUGCACAAUGGGCGCAAGCCUGAUGCAGCCAUGCCGCGUGUGUGAAGAAGGCCUUCGGGUUGUAAAGCACUUUCAGCAGUGAGGAAGGCGGGUACGUUAAUAGCGUSYUCGUUUGACGUUAGCUGCAGAAGAAGCACCGGCUAACUCCGUGCCAGCAGCCGCGGUAAUACGGAGGGUGCGAGCGUUAAUCGGAAUUACUGGGCGUAAAGCGCAUGCAGGUGGUUUGUUAAGUCAGAUGUGAAAGCCCGGGGCUCAACCUCGGAACAGCAUUUGAAACUGGCAGACUAGAGUACUGUAGAGGGGGGUAGAAUUUCAGGUGUAGCGGUGAAAUGCGUAGAGAUCUGAAGGAAUACCGGUGGCGAAGGCGGCCCCC